GGAAUAUUGCACAAUGGGGGAAACCCUGAUGCAGCGACGCCGCGUGAAGGAAGAAGUAUUUCGGUAUGUAAACUUCUAUCAGCAGGGAAGAAAAUGACGGUACCUGAGUAAGAAGCCCCGGCUAACUACGUGCCAGCAGCCGCGGUAAUACGUAGGGGGCAAGCGUUAUCCGGAUUUACUGGGUGUAAAGGGAGCGUAGACGGUGAUGCAAGUCAGAAGUGAAAGCCCGGGGCUCAACUCCGGGACUGCUUUAGAAACUGUGUAACUGGAGUGCAGGAGAGGUAAGCGGAAUUCCUGGUGUAGCGGUGAAAUGCGUAGAUAUCAGGAGGAACACCAGUGGAGAAGGCGGCUUACUGGACUGUAACUGACGUUGAGGCUCGAAAGCGUGGGGAGCAAAC
RNAcentral lists this ribosomal RNA (398 nucleotides) under uncultured bacterium. RNAcentral describes it as "bacterial SSU rRNA". It matches the Rfam family "Bacterial small subunit ribosomal RNA", at positions 358 to 773 of the family's 1533-position model. The record is from RNAcentral.